GUUCUGCCUUAUUCUGGAAUGAUCCAGAAAAGGAGGUGGGGGGGGAGAGGUAGUGGCUUCCUACAUCAGUAAGUUGCCGAAGGAAGGUUCUGAAGGAGAGGGGAAAGGACCUAACGUGAGAAGGUUAACUUUGCACUAGACACACCACCAGUUACAACAGAGGUGGCAGGAUGCAGGGGGGCCGAGGGUCAGUAGGGAGGAAAACGGGAGCUCAGGGAAGCUCCCUGCCUGCUCUCGGGGGCUGAGGUCAGCAGUGAGUGAGGGCGCAGAGAAGGGACUGUGAAUGGGCAGGACCCAGAAGGGAGAUUACUGGGAGGGCCCCUCAUCUCCUCCUGCAGCAGCAGCCCCCCCCUCCCGGGGUAGGGAGCACUCACUAACACCAGUGAGGUGGAGCACAGCCGUGGCCACGGGGACGUCCUCGUCAGGCAGAUAGUACGAGACCAAAACCUGUGGAGAUAGCACCCAGCACCCAUGGCAGUGGGGGGGCGAGGGGGCAGGA
Long non-coding RNA from Ailuropoda melanoleuca (giant panda), 499 nucleotides. RefSeq lists it as uncharacterized. The transcript has 3 exons. Lineage: Eukaryota; Metazoa; Chordata; Mammalia; Carnivora; Ursidae. The record is from RefSeq and is a predicted model, not a curated record.